CAAUAGCGUAUAUUAAAGUUGUUGCGGUUAAAAAGCUCGUAGUUGGAUUUCUGCCGAGGACGACCGGUCCGCCCUCUGGGUGUGUAUCUGGUUUGGCCUGGGCAUCUUCUUGGAGAACGUAGCUGCACUUGACUGUGUGGUGCGGUGUCCAGGACUUUUACUUUGAGGAAAUUAGAGUGUUUCAAGCAGGCACACGCCUUGAAUACAUUAGCAUGGAAUAAUAAGAUAGGACCUCGGUUCUAUUUUGUUGGUUUCUAGAGCUGAGGUAAUGAUUAAUAGGGAUAGUUGGGGGCAUUCGUAUUUAACUGUCAGAGGUGGAAUUCUUGGAUUGCGUUGCGACAAACUACUGCGAAAGCAUUUGCCAAGGAUGUUUUCAUUGA
Molecule: ribosomal RNA, 380 nt
Filed under: uncultured eukaryote
Lineage: Eukaryota
Description: partial 18S ribosomal RNA
Rfam family: Eukaryotic small subunit ribosomal RNA
Source: RNAcentral